GUCCUUAGAGCAAAGUCUGGUCAAAUGCGCAGGACUUAAGAUCCUGUCUCUUAGUGAGUUCGUGGGUUCGAAUCCCAUCCCUCACA
Molecule: transfer RNA, 86 nt
Filed under: Nanobdellota archaeon
Lineage: Archaea; Nanobdellati; Nanobdellota
Description: tRNA-Leu
Rfam family: tRNA (bases 9-78)
About the family: Transfer RNA (tRNA) molecules are approximately 80 nucleotides in length. Their secondary structure includes four short double-helical elements and three loops (D, anti-codon, and T loops). Further hydrogen bonds mediate the characteristic L-shaped molecular structure. tRNAs have two regions of fundamental functional importance: the anti-codon, which is responsible for specific mRNA codon recognition, and the 3' end, to which the tRNAs corresponding amino acid is attached (by aminoacyl-tRNA synthetases). tRNAs cope with the degeneracy of the genetic code in two manners: having more than one tRNA (with a specific anti-codon) for a particular amino acid; and 'wobble' base-pairing, i.e. permitting non-standard base-pairing at the 3rd anti-codon position.
Source: RNAcentral